This 2897-nucleotide long non-coding RNA is filed under the name Apis mellifera (honey bee). Its description in RNAcentral is "uncharacterized LOC102656558". Lineage: Eukaryota; Metazoa; Arthropoda; Insecta; Hymenoptera; Apidae. The record is from RNAcentral.
AUCCACGCCAUUUUGAAUCUUCACCUUUAAAUCAUUUUUAAAGCUGCCAUUUUCCAAAACGUUAUUACAUUAUUCUUCUCUACAUAACGUGUUCUUUUUUGCUAUUUUCCAGAAUGAAUUUAUAAUCCUUCGACUCUAUGAUCUAUUAAAUAAAUAUACGUUUCGUUUAUUCUUUAUUAAUCUCAAUAAAGUUAUCGAUACGUUCUCAAAAGCGCGAAAAGACACGUGCCACAACUGAAACGAACAAUGACAAAGCCUCUUUCCCUAUUUUCUAGUCUCUUUCCCCCUCUUUCUGAUGCGCGCGACGCCAGCCGUUCAUGACUAUUCAGAUUUUCACGCGCAUUGUGUCUCGUUCGCUCGAGAGUCCCAAGUUUCCUCUUUUUUUUCGUUUGUAAGUUAAUUGACCGACGGUUACUCGUCGUCAUUUUUUAUACGUUGAACCGAGGAGUAAUUAGAAAGGCGUGAAAAGGAUCGAGGAAACAACUGUGAGAGGAAGGAGCAGAAGGAUAGCACUGCACAAAAAAAGUGAAAGCACACAAAGGCUAUGGAGAGAAAUGGAGACGGUUAGGGAAAAGCAGAUGAAAAAUUCAUUUUUCUUGAAUUCAUUGUGUCGCUUUGUGCUUGUAUCAAAAUACUGAUUGUUUUAUGUGUUAUCAAAGGAUUUAGAUUAUUUAAUUUAACUCAAGAUAGAAUGUUUUUGAAAAUUCGUGUCUGUUCAAGAUGUGGAGAUAUGGAUAGUGUUUGAGAAGUGAGAGAACCAAUGUAAAGCGGAGGAGGAAAUGAGAUGCGGCUUUUUUCGAAAACUUCGUACUACAUGGUCCUCAAGGUGAGAAAAGAAGAGAAACAAACGAGAAACACGGGAGUGCAGAGAGGGGGGGCAGGAGGGGAAAAUGGAACAGAGGAGUGACAGUGUGUCUUCGGUUUAAAUAUUCAGGGAAAACGGGACGGUGAAACGCGACGGUGAGUAGAUAAAUCAAAAAGAGAGCACACAGGAAGUCGUAGUAAAUAACGGGGCGACGAAGCGCGGAACCGGCGAGGAAAAGAAAAAUGCGCCGCGUGGAAUGGGGCCGUGGCCAUUGAAAGAAACAGACACACAGUGAAAAUAUCAGGCCGUUGUACACGGCGCAUAAUUAAGUUUCAAGGAAAAGUCUUAACCCUUUGCCUGGCGAGGGAUCUGCUUCGUAAUCGGCCAAUUCGAAGUCCCGUGCUCGAGCUUUUUUUAACAGGGAUAUACGUAUUAAGUAAAUGCAUACAGUAUAUACUAGAGAAUUAUCCGUACCAACUGGGGAGUAAUCUCUUUUAAAUUAAACGAAGUUAUGUUAUAUCUAUAUAUAUAUAUCUUACAAUAAUCUACGUAAUAAUAUAGCGAGAUCAUAAAAUCAGACAAGAAAAUGGUCGGAAAUCUGAAGAAAAUUCGAAACCACAAUCAGUCAUGAAUUAGUCUAUCAAGAAGAAGUCUUUGGAGAACAAUUUCUAAAAGUAUGAUUAAUAAUCAAGUAAUUGACUUGAAAAGUAAUUUAACAAAGAGGGGUUAUUAAAUGGAUUAUUAAUGGAUGUUCUCUCUCAAAAAUACAACAAUGAAAAAGAUGGAAGAAACAGAAAAAAAAGAGGGAGAGAGGGGAGGAGCGCAGAAUAAAGAAAGAAGAUUGAGUGAGCAGAAGAGAGAGUUAAAAAUUUCGAGUGUAUGUAGAACAGCUUCAAAUACACAUCACUGGAAAAUCGAAGACGCAGGGAAUGGAUUCAAAUACCCGUGAAAAGUAUCAUUCAUGUGGGCCAUCCAUCUUUUCUCGAACCUCUCAGCUUAACCUAGAGAGAUGCUUAACCUAUCAUAGUAUGCAUGCAACUGACUGUUUACCUUCGUUAAAAGGGACGAGAUAUCAUUCCACUUAAUCCAAAAAAAAAAUUUUUCACCGUAUUGAUGUUUCUUCAUGUAAAAAUAACCAUUCCGACUUUAAUACAUCCACGGCGUGAAACGUUUUUUAAUUAUCAGCAACCUGAGGGAAACGAUUGCCGCGGAAUAGGUAAAUUUGCGCACGCACUACUAUUGCCUUUUCGACUCGGUUGGUACACAAAGGCACAAAUUAAAAAGUGACUAGCGGCGCGAAAUACAGAGGAAUAUAAAGAAAUUUUUUUAUUCGCCCAUCGAGAUUUUUUUCUCAAAUAUUAAUUGAAUCUUCGAUUACUGUUUGCUUUUAAAGUUGCUCGAGUAAAAAGAAAGAAUUGAAAAAAUUAAAAAAGAAGAAGAUUAUUUUCAAUGAUAAGAAUAUACGAUCGAUCUUAAAAAUUGAAAUGACGCUUUUUAGUGAGCAUACAUUUUACAAGGAUGAUGUUAAUUAAUCAUAAUUUAAAAUCAUUUAAACGUGUCAAAUAUUAUUCUAAAAAUAAUUCUCGUUUUUAUCAGUUUCGAUUAUAAAUUAAUCAAAAAUGUGUAAAAGUUUUUAAUGGAAAUAUUGUUAAGUCUUUCUGGUAAAUAUAAAAUAACACAACUUGGUCAUAGAUCAGCUAUUGUUAAACAACGUCGAUCUAUAUUGUCCUCUGCCAAUAUCCCAUGUACUCCUAUUUACGAUAUACGUGAUACUAUAAUCUAUAGUAUCAAGAAUCACGAUGCACCGUGUCUCUCAGAGGCAAUUUACUAUUGUAAACCAUUGCAAACUAGAUCUGUGAUAUUUUAUCAUAGAAAUGAUAUGCUGAUUUAUGCGAAUCUCUUUCAAUGUUAAUAUAUUGCGAUUAAUCAACAAUUUAUACUAUUUUUGUAAAAUAGUUACUCUCUAUAUAUCAUGUAAUAAAUAAUUUUAAUAAUUAGUACAACAAAAAUCUAUUUGUAACAACUAUUUAAGGAGAUUAAUUAGAUAAAAGAAGAUUGUUUAUAAAAUUAUUAAUUUAACAUGAAAAAGAAA